GUGCCAGCAGCCGCGGUAAAACGUAGGAGGCGAGCGUUAUCCGGAUUUACUGGGUGUAAAGCGUGUGCAGGCGGUACGGUAAGUUGGAUGUGAAAGCUCCUGGCUUAACUGGGAGAGGUCGUUCAAAACUACCGAACUUGAGUAUGGGAGAGGGAGGCGGAAUUCCGGGUGUAGUGGUGAAAUGCGUAGAUAUCCGGAGGAACACCAGUGGCGAAAGCGGCCUCCUGGCCCAAAACUGACGCUCAGACACGAAAGCUAGGGGAGCGAACGGGAUUAGAAACCCUAGUAGUCC
This 292-nucleotide ribosomal RNA is filed under the name uncultured bacterium. Its description in RNAcentral is "partial 16S ribosomal RNA". It matches the Rfam family "Bacterial small subunit ribosomal RNA", at positions 505 to 796 of the family's 1533-position model. The record is from RNAcentral.